CGGGGGAGGGACCCCGGGGGCAGCUCAGAGCGCGGCUGGUGCUCGGGUGGCGGAGGGAGAAAGAAGGAAGGGAGGCAGUCAGUGAACGGCGGCUCGCAGGGAGCGAGAUGGAGGGAGGGAGGGAGGAAGGCGGAGGGAUAUUCGGGCCGGACCUCUCCGCGGCGGCACCGCGCUCCGCGUCGAUUGGCUGCCGCCGUGGCCAUGCGGCGCCCCCUAUUGGCCAGGCCGUCUGCGUUGAAGGGCCGCCCGGCAUCCAUUCGCCCGCUGGUUUCAAGUCCCGGGUUGGUUGGGCGGGCAGCGGAAUGGGGUGCGUGGAUUGGCCGAGGGCAGGAGCUAGCUGGGUGCUGAUUGGGCGGGCUUGGUAAAGGCCUCGGUCUCAGACCGGCUGAGCGCUGAGAGGAGAGGGGACCUCAGGCAAGACUCCGGGCCCGCAUGAUUGGCUGGGGAAGCUGCUUUAAUGGCUGGGACUACUUGGCAGCGGGCUCGCGCGGCAGGGCAGGACCUUGGAGACCACGCGGUUCAACUUCCAGUUUGCAGAUGUGGAAACGGAAGCCCAGAGAGGGUAUGCAACCGGUGCAAGGUUACACAGCUGGUUAGUGGCCUGCUCGGGACUGGACUCCAGCGCUCCGGACUGCCCUUGGCCUUGCACUCAGCUUCCCCCUUCGAGGAGGAAAAGGGAUAGGGAGAAUGUUUGAAGAAGGAUGUAAGGGCCAGGACCCCGCAGCACCGGCACAACCAAACCUCUAUGAACGAUUUUCUGAACUCAGGAAACUACUGGAGGAUGUGGUGCACCAAAACGAGAGAAUAAACUAAGAAACAGGAAGACAUGUGGUCCUAGAAACAGGAUAUUCAACAUAGCAGUGAGGUUCAGUCAUCAAAUUAAUGGUGCAAGUGCAGGAGUGGAAGUAACACAGUUGCUCAGGCUCGCACGGCAGGCGUUCAGCAGUGUUGGAACCAGAAGUCCAAUAAUGAAAGCUACAGCUGACAGAUACCAGCAAUAGAAUCACAGGAGCAAUCAGAGCUUUACAAACGUCAGUAACAACCGAACUGACUUUCCUUCCUACACUACCAUCAAUCAAGUUUGCCAUCAAACGUUCAGGUAGGACCACCAAGCCUUUGAUUUGGUUUCCCAGGGAAAGCCGUUGUUUGGCUCAGUGUUUUAUUAACAUUAGGUUCUCCUGUCUUUUACUCUUGCAUUUGAACCCAAACACCUUGACCACUUUGCAUGUAUCAGGGUUGGUACAAGAAGGCAUAGUCCAUCUUGGUUGGGUAUUUUGCACUGUUCAAAAGAUAGUUUUAUAAAAAACAAAACUAAAACAACUCUGAGGUCCUAAAACUAAUAUAUAAGUGAG
Molecule: long non-coding RNA, 1352 nt
Organism: Myotis brandtii (Brandt's bat)
Lineage: Eukaryota; Metazoa; Chordata; Mammalia; Chiroptera; Vespertilionidae
Exons: 6
Source: RefSeq, a predicted model, not a curated record